This 95-nucleotide ribosomal RNA is filed under the name Acanthosepion pharaonis. Lineage: Eukaryota; Metazoa; Mollusca; Cephalopoda; Sepiida; Sepiidae. The record is from RNAcentral.
UAAAACAGCGGUCCCGUACGUUCACUAAAGUUAAGCAACAUCGAGCCUGGUCAGUACGUAGAUGAUUGACUGCUUGGGAAUACCAUGUGCUGUAA